RNAcentral lists this ribosomal RNA (263 nucleotides) under uncultured Ascomycota. RNAcentral's name for it is "partial 18S ribosomal RNA". It matches the Rfam family "Eukaryotic small subunit ribosomal RNA", at positions 624 to 888 of the family's 1831-position model. The record is from RNAcentral. Lineage: Eukaryota; Fungi; Ascomycota.
UUNNNAAGCUCGUAGUUGAACCUUGGACCUGGCUGAUCUGUCCUCCUAAUCGAGCGCACGGAUUCGGUCGGGUCUUUCCUUCUGGGGAGCCCUAUGCCCUUCACUGGNUGUAGUGGGNAACCAGGACUUUUACCUUGAAAAAAUUAGAGUGUUCAAAGCAGGCCUUUGCUCGAAUACNUUAGCAUGGAAUAAUAGAAUAGGACAUCGGNUCUAUUUUGUUGGUUUCUAGGACCGCUGUAAUGAUGAAUAGGGAUAGUCGGGGG